UACGAAGGGGGCUAGCGUUGCUCGGAAUCACUGGGCGUAAAGCGCACGUAGGCGGAUCUUUAAGUCAGGGGUGAAAUCCUGGAGCUCAACUCCAGAACUGCCUUUGAUACUGAGGAUCUUGAGUAUGGGAGAGGUGAGUGGAAUUUCCGGUGUAGCGGUGAAAUGCGUAGAUAUCGGAAGGAACACCUGUGGCGAAAGCGGCUCACUGGACCAUUACUGACGCUGAGGCACGAAAGCUAGGGGAGCAAACAGG
This 253-nucleotide ribosomal RNA is filed under the name uncultured bacterium. RNAcentral's name for it is "partial 16S ribosomal RNA". It matches the Rfam family "Bacterial small subunit ribosomal RNA", at positions 524 to 776 of the family's 1533-position model. The record is from RNAcentral.